CUCUGUGAAGCAGGGCAUGACCAGACGUUGCAGCCAUAGAAAAAGACAGGCGUGGAGGAGGCAGGAGAGGGCUUGUUGCACAUAAACAGAGAGGAAAAAGAAACCACCUCUGUAAUUCACUAAAAAUCUCAUUGGAAGACUAUGUUCAGGUUCAGAUGAUUUCUCUUGGCACAAAAUCAUCAUCAGACCCUGUCAUUUCUUACCAGCUGAAGAGAUCGUGGAAGGAUAAAGUGUAAUGGAGAAGUGCAAUCAGAUGUGGCAGCAUUGCCAUCUUUCACUUGAGUUUUCCUCUUGAAGUUCAACAAUAAAAUAACAGUGUUUACAAGAAAUGUACCUUUACAGCUGAGGCAUCUGCAGGCUGCUGCAAAGGUUCAGACUUGUUUGAAAAAAAAGAAAGAAAUGCUGAUGACUGCCAACAUUAAUUGCCAAAAAUGUGCUUUCAGUUAUUAAAGUCCUAAUGAGCCCAACCAGUGGGCACAUGCAUCUGCUGAGCCAGGAGGCAAGGAGAGCCCUUGCUACAGACCCACCCAGCUUUCACCAGCACAUCAACACUUCAAGCAGCUUUUUGAGUGGCAGAUUAUUGGCUCUGGUUAUGCCUGGAGAGAGAAAAGCCAAGUUAUAGCCUCCUCAACCUAUGCAAUAUAACCAUCCACUUCCCCGCUUCACCAGGCUGCACUUUGUCCAUGUCCAGUAAACAGCAGCCUAGCAUUUUGUAUUAAAGCCAUUCCUAGAAUUAGGAACUAAAACUGACCCAGGCUAUUUAAACAUCUUGUUACAAUUACUCAAAUAUAUGCUUUUAAAAGCAGAGUUUACCAAAGUGGCUUCAGAUUUUGUUACUUAUUCCUAGUUUUGUUUUGGCAUUCACUAGCAUUCAUGGGGGUACGUGUGUGUCUGAGCUCACGUGCUGAUCUUUGCUUGGGGAUUUGUCCCCAUAAAACAGGGCAGAAGGACCAAUUUGCCAUAUGUUUUUUGUAGCAGGCAAGAUUAAGAACUGCUAACAACAGAGCAGCCUCUGGAAUCAGUGCAGGAUCGAGCCCAACAGCACCUGGAAGCAGAUCCAUAAUGGGAACAAAAGGAGAAGAUGGGCAGCAGUUUUGGCCUCUCAGGCACCACUUGGCCUCUUGCAUUGCUGCCCAUAGGGAAUACCGGGGAAGGGACAGAGGAAAUGCUGACAAGAGAAAAAGCAGCUAGACAUAAAUGAAUCCUGGAAUCAUCUCAAGUCCCAUAGCGUUCAUAAUUACCUAUCAUUUUACUGAUC
Long non-coding RNA from Neopsephotus bourkii (Bourke's parrot), 1258 nucleotides. RefSeq lists it as uncharacterized. The transcript is spliced from 3 exons. The record is from RefSeq and is a predicted model, not a curated record. NCBI's taxonomy places the organism in Eukaryota, Metazoa, Chordata, Aves, Psittaciformes, Psittacidae.